This is a non-coding RNA of Dactylonectria macrodidyma, 80 nucleotides long. The record is from the annotation of a GenBank genome assembly. Lineage: Eukaryota; Fungi; Ascomycota; Sordariomycetes; Hypocreales; Nectriaceae.
AGUCCCGUGGCGCAGUGGUCAAUGCGUCUGGAGAUUUUUGCGACAGCAAUAGGUCGUGGGUUCGAAUCCCGCCGGAGCCA